This 253-nucleotide ribosomal RNA is filed under the name uncultured bacterium. RNAcentral describes it as "partial 16S ribosomal RNA". It matches the Rfam family "Bacterial small subunit ribosomal RNA", at positions 524 to 776 of the family's 1533-position model. The record is from RNAcentral.
UACGUAGGGUGCGAGCGUUAAUCGGAAUUACUGGGCGUAAAGUGUGCGCAGGCGGCCGCGCAAGUCGGGGGUGAAAGCCUGUGGCUCAACCACAGAAUUGCCUUCGAUACUGUUUGGCUUGAGACCGGAAGAGGUAAGUGGAACUGCGAGUGUAGAGGUGAAAUUCGUAGAUAUUCGCAAGAACACCAGUGGCGAAGGCGGCUUACUGGUCCGGUUCUGACGCUGAGGCGCGAAAGCGUGGGGAGCAAACAGG